This is a long non-coding RNA of Oreochromis niloticus (Nile tilapia), 281 nucleotides long. RefSeq lists it as uncharacterized. Lineage: Eukaryota; Metazoa; Chordata; Actinopteri; Cichliformes; Cichlidae. The record is from RefSeq and is a predicted model, not a curated record. The transcript is spliced from 3 exons.
GUGUAUGACUGUGUACGUGACAAAUAAAAUUUGAAUUUGAAUUUGAGCUGCAGAAAACGGUUCACUGUCAGCCGGCGGUGUUUGUCACCUCCCUGGCUGCUGUGGAGAGACUCAACCAAGAAAACCCCAAAGCCAUUGAGAUGUGUGUCGCUGCUGCAGGUUUCAGUGUCGGAGAAUUUGCUGCUCUUGUCUUUUCUGGGGCGAUGAACUUUGCAGAAGGAGUAAAUGCAGCUCAACUCCCAGUCCUACUGCCAGUUUCUGGAAGACACCUUCUUCAAGCA